This 254-nucleotide ribosomal RNA is filed under the name uncultured bacterium. RNAcentral describes it as "partial 16S ribosomal RNA". It matches the Rfam family "Bacterial small subunit ribosomal RNA", at positions 523 to 776 of the family's 1533-position model. The record is from RNAcentral.
GUACGUAGGGGGCCAGCGUUGCUCGGAAUUACUGGGCGUAAAGGGUUCGUAGGCGGUGCGGCAAGUUGGGAGUGAAAUCUCUGGGCUUAACUCAGGGGCUGCUUUCAAAACUGCCGCGCUCGAGUGCGAGAGAGGUCAGUGGAAUUGCAGGUGUAGCGGUGAAAUGCGUAGAUAUCUGCAGGAACACCCGUGGCGAAGGCGGCUGACUGGAUCGCAACUGACGCUGAGGAACGAAAGCUAGGGGAGCAAACAGG